AUUGAACGCUGGCGGCAUGCCUUACACAUGCAAGUCGAACGGCAGCACGGGUGCUUGCACCUGGUGGCGAGUGGCGAACGGGUGAGUAAUACAUCGGAACAUGUCCUGUAGUGGGGGAUAGCCCGGCGAAAGCCGGAUUAAUACCGCAUACGAUCUACGGAUUAAAGCGGGGGACCUUCGGGCCUCGCGCUAUCGGGUUGGCCGAUGGCUGAUUAGCUAGUUGGUGGGGUAAAGGCCUACCAAGGCGACGAUCAGUAGCUGGUCUGAGAGGACGACCAGCCACACUGGGACUGAGACACGGCCCAGACUCCUACGGGAGGCAGCAGUGGGGAAUUUUGGACAAUGGGCGAAAGCCUGAUCCAGCAAUGCCGCGUGUGUGAAGAAGGCCUUCGGGUUGUAAAGCACUUUUGUCCGGAAAGAAAUCCUUGGCCCUAAUACGGUCGGGGGAUGACGGUACCGGAAGAAUAAGCACCGGCUAACUACGUG
RNAcentral lists this ribosomal RNA (486 nucleotides) under uncultured bacterium. Its description in RNAcentral is "partial 16S ribosomal RNA". It matches the Rfam family "Bacterial small subunit ribosomal RNA", at positions 30 to 507 of the family's 1533-position model. The record is from RNAcentral.